Melopsittacus undulatus (budgerigar) is the source of this 1094-nucleotide long non-coding RNA. RefSeq lists it as uncharacterized. Lineage: Eukaryota; Metazoa; Chordata; Aves; Psittaciformes; Psittaculidae. The transcript has 2 exons. The record is from RefSeq and is a predicted model, not a curated record.
UAAAAGUGCUUGUAACUCAGAUCUCUGUAGCUGCCUCUGCUGACUUGCUCUUCUUGGUGACUGGGUUGGCUUGUUUUCUGCAAAGAUGUCUUCGUAUGGACAGAUGAUUAGCUCCCGCUGUGCUGAACCAUGUGAAGUAACAUGCCCACAACCAUAUGUCAACUGUUGGAAUGAACCUUGUGUCAGCUCAUGUGGAGACUCAAGAGCAAUCGUGUAUGCGCCGCCCGUUGUCGUGACUUUCCCAGGACCCAUUAUAAGCUCCUGCCCUCAGGAAAGUUUUGUGGGAACUGCUAUGCCUGAAAUUGAGGGUCAGAUGGGCUCUGGAGGUGGAGGAAUGGGUUCUGGAGGUGGAAUGGGCUCCGGAGGUGGAGGAAUGGGCUCCGGAGGUGGAGGAAUGGGUUCCGGAGGUGGAAUGGGCUCCGGAGGUGGAGGAAUAAGCUCUGGUGGUUCCUGUGGAGGAGGCAGCUCCUACGGGAUGGGCUCUCAUGGUUCAGGUGGUUCUUGUGGUGGCAUAGGAGGAGGCUCAUACGGUGGGGAGGGCUCAUGUGGUGGUGGACUCUUCCGUUUGGGAAACUUUUACCGAAACUCAUAUUUUUCAGGAUAUGGUAGAUACUAUUCCCCCCUUUUUUCCAGAGGGUAUUAUAGAUAUCGCUAUGGAAAUUAUGGGCCAUUUUAAAUCUUUAAGAAAGAUUAAUGACUGGAGAAAUAGUAAAAUACAAACUAGCAGCUGACAUAUAGACCUGGAAAUCAGACAUGCCAAGCAGCCUCUGCUCCAGCCUGUGUCAGAGGAGCUGGGGUUGCUUGGGAUCUCACUACGCUUUAUCUAAGGCUUAUGGUCCCAAUGUUGCCUCACUUUGUCAUUUGCUUAUGUUAUGUUUUGUUCUUUCUGAACCUGAAGAGGGUAAACCAAGUAAUGGAAUUUGACUGUAAAAGCAUCCAGCUGAAAGAAGAACACCUUGUGAACCCUGUGCUCCUCUGAAUGAUUGAUUGAUUGUAGCCCUUGUUUGAAAUGGAAAUUACAUUGUUUCUUCCUUGCCUCAUUCUGCAAGAAUGUAUUCCAGUCUUUGUUUGUAUUAAAGCCCUGUUGCAUCAUA